AGGCGGGGCUUGGAUUAUUUGAAGGAGAUCAUUGCAAACAAAAGGAGAUCGUUGCAGUCAAGGAGUGGGCUGAACCUUCAGAUGACUGGUGGCCACACAGCACAGACAGAAGGAAGCCAGAGAGCGAAGCCAGGGAACCGUAGGCAGGCGGUCAGAAUGUGCCUCGUACAGCGCCUGGGUCCAGUCUCCGACGAUACGGAUGUGGGCGCUGAAGUAGUCCUCCUCGGGGGCGGACGUCAGGGUGAAGGGGUGCCACUCCAGCCUGGAGACUGACGGACACUGGAUGAAGACGUACUGACCCACCUCCAUAUGGAAACCUUUCCUCUUCAUCUGCAACUCCAGAGUCUUAGACGGGUGCAUCACCACCUGAGGGACAGCACACACACACACACACACACACACACCUUGGUGAUGACCACUUUCUGGUGGGAGCGAUAGAGUCGGACGAGCCUCUCACACACAUAGAGGAUCAUGGGGCCCACCACCCACUUCCACGUCUGCAGAAAAGCCGUGGAACACCAGUCCGAUGAAGAAGAUGACGAAGAGGUGGUGUGUGUACCAGAAGACCUCGAAGUAGGACCUGCGGAUCACCUCCAUGGAUGAAGUGAUGAUGAGGAUGAGGGCCAGCGUGAUGACCACGCCCGUCACACCGGCGAUGGUGGUGAACAUGACGAUGGUAGGGUUCUGCGUACAAACACACAGGGGUUAGUCGCGGCGUGGGUCCAGGUCACAGGGUCAGCGCCUCCAACGCCCUGCAGGCCAGGUUCAUUGGCUAACUUCCCUCAUGUACCAAUGUCUGUUUUGUCAUAGUUCCUCUCCAUGCUGCCACCGACUGUGAGCACGUACUCUCUGCUGCUUCCGUAGGAAGUGUGAAGCUAGUUUGGAGGCUAAAAAGUGACUGUUCAAGUGAACGUCACAGGGGUUGUGGAGUUGUUAUAUUAUAGAAAUUAAACUGAUUUGGUAAUUUCUUCAGUAUACUUUUUUAUUUUUUAUUUAAGUAAACUUGCAACUGAAAUUUUGCAUUUCAAACAUUUGAAAUACUAAAAGUAAUCAAAGUGACAGUUAGAUACAAUUAGUGCAAGAAGUUGAAACAGUUAAAGUGGAAGUACUGUAAAAGUGUGAGCACUGACUAAAGUUGAAUGUCCAUUGAGGUGUCUAAACGGAAAGACAAAAUGCCGUUUGAAGUUGAUUGUGUGUGAUCGUUGGAGCGGUUAGAAGAGUUCAAGCUUUGGGGUGGGGUUUUCACUAGGAAUGCCAGUUGAAGUAAACAGAUGUCAAAAGGAGUAGAACAUCACUAAACGCAGAUAAAGUCUCAGUUUAGGAAUGAGAGAUGAAAGCAGUUGGAUUGUCAUUUUAAAGAGGAAAUGAUGAAAAAAGUUGAAGAGUAAGUGCUGAGUAAAGUGUCCGUAGAAGGGAAGAAAGAAAUGCAGUUCAAAGUCUGAGAGAAGACUUUUAUUAGAGGAAGCAACAAUCUUACAACCUUACCUGACUAAAAUCUUAAAAUGCACGGACGUUUACACUUAAAGGACAGAGAGUGGGAGGAGAUUUUUAGCAUGUUGGUGGCCUUAGACUUAGAAUAUUUCAUCCUCACCAUAACUUACUUAAAGCUGUUGCACACAGUCAUUUAUUGUUAGAUUUCGCCCACGAGGCCGACGAGAUGCUACGUAUUUUGUUUUUAUGCCACAGAAGAUGCAACUCUUCUUUAUUUGUGUCAAAGCUUUUAAAGAAAUGCAUUAUAAAGCUAAAUACUGUAAAGGAAGUUUUUUAAAUGACAAAAUACCUCCAAAGAGGAAGUUUGUUGGAUGAAGUAAUACUUUAUUUUUUUCUCAUUGACACCAAAUUUGGCAGUUAAGCAGAGGGGAUUUCACAGAUUUGAGCAACACAAGAAGCUUCCGUAACCACAACUCACCGUCUCAUUGGUCCUGAUGGGGUUCAGGAAGGAGGCGUUGUCCCCGGUGCCGAUUUCAGACAGGAUGAAGGGCAGAAGGCUGCUGUUGCGAUCCAGCUGGGCGUCCAUGAAAAACUCAAAGUUAAACAAAUGUGCACCGAUGUGCACCGCUACGAGAGGGCGAGAAGAGAGCUUUAUUAAGAAUAAAGUGAUUUUAAAUAGUCCAAACGCUCUGUGAAGCUGCAGAAUUCUUCUUAUAACUCAUAAAUACGACUAAGUGAUGUGAAGUUAUAUAUAUUUUAGUGUAUGUUUUGACCACAUAAAUCAAAAACACUGGAUUGUCACAGAUAUAAUGGCAUAUAUGGAUGUUUUAUAGAUUACAAUUUUAUGUAUAUUUGAUAUUAGUUACUUAAUUCAAUUAACAUAUUUCAAGUUGUGUUUCGUUGGACAACUGUCAUUUAACUUCCUCCCAAUCAAUGAAGAAAAACCUGAUAUUGUGUUUUUCAUUGUUUAUUUUAAUAACUUUGCAUCAUUUUACAACUUAAUUAAAGUAAUUUGUGCUUCCGUGUUUUUCCGGUAUUGAUCAUUGUAACACGCGCUAAGAUCCUCAACAAUAAUACCUGUGUGGAAGGCGAUCAUGUACGCCACCAGUUUGUGAAAGGUGAGGUUUCGAUCGAGCUGACGAGCGGCUGUGCGGCUGCAGCACUGAAUACAAACAGACAGACAAACGUUGCAAAACAGUGUUAGCAGAUCAGUCCAGUCCUCUGAUAGUUAGAAAUACAAAUUGGAUCCCUCAUAAGCAUCUUUAUAUCAUGAUUUUUUGAAUGGAGUUUGGUGUUUCGGAGUGAUACCUGGAUGGUUCCACGGAGGAAGGACAGGAGGUUUCGGCACACUGGCAGCAGGAUGAGCAUACAGUUAAAGUUGAGGCAGGCGGCGGGAGCUCUGGCCCAGGACAGAGCAUGCUGACGGGUUAGAGAGAGCCGGGUUACUUCAGAUCACUUUACAGCGCUCGUUUGGAAAUGAAUACUUUCUCUUUUAUCCCUAAAAGAUCUGUGAAUAAAUAUACAAGUUGUAACUUUGUGAGUAUUGUUCCUCAUGUCUCUUAACAUUGAUGAUGGUUGAUAACUUUAAAUAUAGAAAAACCAGAUAGUAGAAAGCGCAACAGAUUGUUUCACUUCUGCUCACUUGGAUGCAUCUGUGCAGUAAGGGCUCAGUGUUUCAUGAAGCCAGUUGUGACCACAGAAGAAACUUACGCUCACGUCACACCUGCUUCCUUUCACUGCCAAGCACUGGAAGUGUAGAUACAAGGUGGAGUAGAUAUGGUGUGGUGUUGGGCUGCUUUAUACUGUGGCAUUUUGUUACUGGAAGAUGAUAAAUAAAUCAGCUGCUGAAACUCAA
This is a long non-coding RNA of Perca fluviatilis (European perch), 3286 nucleotides long. RefSeq lists it as uncharacterized. Lineage: Eukaryota; Metazoa; Chordata; Actinopteri; Perciformes; Percidae. The record is from RefSeq and is a predicted model, not a curated record. The transcript is spliced from 5 exons.